UUUCGCAAUGCCCGAAAGGGUGACGAAGCGACGCCGCGUGGGUGAGGAAGGCCUUCGGGUUGUAAAGCCCUGUCAGGAGUUAAGAAAUGUAAGUGCGCUAAUACCGCAUUUAUUUGACGAAGGCUCCAAAGGAAGUCACGGCUAACUCUGUGCCAGCAGCCGCGGUAAUACAGAGGUGGCAAGCGUUGUUCGGAAUUAUUGGGCGUAAAGAGCACGUAGGUGGGUUUGUAAGUCAGAUGUGAAAGCCUCCUGUUCAACGGGAGAAUUGCAUCUGAAACUACAGAUCUUGAGUGUAGGAGGGGAGAAUGGAACUUCUGGUGGAGCGGUGAAAUGCGUAGAUAUCAGAAGGAACGCCGGCGGCGAAAGCGAUUCUCUGGCCUAUUACUGACACUCAGUGUGCGAAAGCUAGGGUAGCAAACGGGAUUAGAUACCCCGGUAGUCCUAGCCGUAAACGAUGGGCACUAAGUAGAGGGGUUUUA
Molecule: ribosomal RNA, 479 nt
Filed under: uncultured anaerobic ammonium-oxidizing bacterium
Lineage: Bacteria
Description: bacterial SSU rRNA
Rfam family: Bacterial small subunit ribosomal RNA
Source: RNAcentral